CUUCUCAGGUUUACGAUAGAGACUUGACUUCUUCUGAUUUUAUGGGUUCAGCAGUCCUAAUACUUCACAAACUGGAACUAAACAGGACUACUGAGAGGAUUCUUAAACUGGAAGACCCAAACAGCUUGGAGGAUGACAUGGGCGUGAUUGUGCUGAAUUUAAGACUUGUUGUGAAGUCGUGCGAUAUUAAAAGAAAUCGAUGGCCAAACCGAAGGAGAUGCUCUGUACCGAAGGUAACACAUUCUUUGUCCCCAUAGUUCUGUUAUUG
Thamnophis sirtalis is the source of this 268-nucleotide non-coding RNA. NCBI's taxonomy places the organism in Eukaryota, Metazoa, Chordata, Lepidosauria, Squamata, Natricidae. The record is from RefSeq and is a predicted model, not a curated record.